UGGGAAUCAGCCAAUACAGGACAAUAAUUUAGGGAAGAAAGGAGGGGCCUGCUGUCAUGAUUCCUCAGGUUUUUUUCUGUUCCUUCCUGUGAGGAUGCCUUCCUGAAGAUCCAGCAACUUGCUCUUCCAAGAAUGAAUACAGUACCUGGUGUCAGAAGUAUGACCGAGGUGACGAUCAAGGAGCAGAUGACCAGAAUGACAAGCAGUGCAAUCGCUAUUCCUUUCCAAUUCCUUUGUGGAGGGUUACUCCCCACCAGUUCCUAAAAAGAGCAACAACAAAGAAAAUCCCAGUGAGUGAAAUAAGGAAAUAAAAGAAGCCAAAUAGACAUAUUUCAUUUAAAUCAAUAACCAAGACACAAAACAGUGAAAGAGGCAUCUUCCCAUCCUCGAAGCUACUAUUA
This is a long non-coding RNA of Piliocolobus tephrosceles (Ugandan red Colobus), 401 nucleotides long. RefSeq lists it as uncharacterized. The record is from RefSeq and is a predicted model, not a curated record. The transcript is spliced from 3 exons. NCBI's taxonomy places the organism in Eukaryota, Metazoa, Chordata, Mammalia, Primates, Cercopithecidae.